GAGCUUGUAACUCAGUGGAACAGAGUGCGCGUUUCCGAAUCGCGAUGUCGAAGGUUCGAUUCCUUCCUUGCUCA
This 74-nucleotide transfer RNA is filed under the name Xylochloris irregularis. RNAcentral's name for it is "tRNA-Arg". It matches the Rfam family "tRNA". From Rfam's summary of the family: Transfer RNA (tRNA) molecules are approximately 80 nucleotides in length. Lineage: Eukaryota; Viridiplantae; Chlorophyta; Trebouxiophyceae. The record is from RNAcentral.